AAAUUGUGAACUUCCCAUUAGAAUGAAUAGUAAUUUAUUAAUAAUCAAUUUCGAUAUUCCUAGUUUUGUAGUAAAAGUAAUUAUACUAAUGUUUACUUUCUCUACUAGUAAAUAAUGUCCUAUUGUCAAUGCUGCAAUAUAAUACGUAUAUCUUGUUUAUACAAUUCUAUUGGUAUUUAAUCGCAAAAUUUUUCUCUUGGUUAAAAUUUCUCAGACAAAUAAUGCCUGAAGAAAUUAAUAAGUCAAUCGAAUAUUGCUAUUUAUAAUAGAUCGUCAGUAUCCAUUUUCUAAUUUUACUGUAUCAUAUUAAAAAUAACUAACUAUUCCAAUAACUGUAGCCAGUGCUAAAUGGUCUUUCUCUAAAUUAAAACUGAUAAUAUCAUAUUUAAGGACAUUGAUGGCUCAAGAAAGAAUAACUUCACUAGCAAUUGUAUCUAUUAAAAAAGGUAUGGCUCCUAACUUGGACCACAAUGUAGUAAUAAAUGAAUUUGAGAAGUAUAAAACAAGAAUAAUGAACUUUAUUUGGAUUAUAGUAAUAA
Cinara cedri is the source of this 539-nucleotide non-coding RNA. The record is from the annotation of a GenBank genome assembly. NCBI's taxonomy places the organism in Eukaryota, Metazoa, Arthropoda, Insecta, Hemiptera, Aphididae.